UACGAACGCUGGCGGCGUGCUUAACACAUGCAAGUCGAACGGAAAGGCCCUGCUUUUGUGGGGUGCUCGAGUGGCGAACGGGUGAGUAACACGUGAGAACCUGCCCUUGACUUUGGGAUAACUUCAGGAAACUGGGGCUAAUACCGGAUAGGAGCUCCUGCUGCAUGGUGGGGGUUGGAAAGUUUCGGCGGUUGGGGAUGGACUCGCGGCUUAUCAGCUUGUUGGUGGGGUAGUGGCUUACCAAGGCUUUGACGGGUAGCCGGCCUGAGAGGGUGACCGGCCACAUUGGGACUGAGAUACGGCCCAGACUCCUACGGGAGGCAGCAGUGGGGAAUAUUGCACAAUGGGCGGAAGCCUGAUGCAGCAACGCCGCGUGCGGGAUGACGGCCUUCGGGUUGUAAACCGCUUUCGCCUGUGACGAAGCGUGAGUGACGGUAAUGGGUAAAGAAGCACCGGCUAACUACGUG
RNAcentral lists this ribosomal RNA (467 nucleotides) under uncultured bacterium. RNAcentral's name for it is "partial 16S ribosomal RNA". It matches the Rfam family "Bacterial small subunit ribosomal RNA", at positions 29 to 507 of the family's 1533-position model. The record is from RNAcentral.